Molecule: ribosomal RNA, 924 nt
Filed under: uncultured archaeon
Lineage: Archaea
Description: bacterial SSU rRNA
Rfam family: Archaeal small subunit ribosomal RNA
Source: RNAcentral
UUCCGGUUGAUCCUGCCGGAGGUUACUGCUAUCGAGAUUCGACUAAGCCAUGCGAGUCGAAUGUUCUUCGUGAACAUGGCGGACUGCUCAGUAACACGUGGACAACCUACCCUUGGGUCUGGCAUAAUCCUGGGAAACUGGGUAUAAUUCCAGAUAGGUCACAGAUGCUGGAAUGCACUGUGGCCGAAAGCUCCGGCGCCCAAGGAUGGGUCUGCGGCCUAUCAGGGUUGUAGUGGGUGUAACGGACCUACUAGCCUACGACGGGUACGGGUUGUGAGAGCAAGAGCCCGGAGAUGGAUUCUGAGACACGAAUCCAGGCCCUACGGGGUGCAGCAGGCGCGAAAACUUUACAAUGCGGGAAACCGUGAUAAGGGAAUCUCGAGUGCCAGCAUAUAAUGUUGGCUGUCCAGAUGCCUAAAAAGCAUCUGUUAGCAAGGGCCGGGCAAGACCGGUGCCAGCCGCCGCGGUAACACCGGCGGCCCGAGUGGUAACCGCUUUUAUUGGGUCUAAAGGGUCUGUAGCCGGCCAAGUAAGUCCCUUGGGAAAUCUGGCAGCUUAACUGUCAGGCUGCUAGGGGAUACUGCUAGGCUUGGGACCGGGAGAGGUGAGAGGUACCUUGGGGGUAGGGGUGAAAUCUUGUGAUCCUCGGGGGACCACCAGUGGCGAAGGCGUCUCACCAGAACGGGUCCGACGGUAAGGGACGAAAGCUAGGGGCACGAACCGGAUUAGAUACCCGGGUAGUCCUAGCCGUAAACGAUGCUCGCUAGGUGUCAGUCACGGUGCGACCGUGAUUGGUGCCGUAGGGAAGCCGUGAAGCGAGCCACCUGGGAAGUAUGGCCGCAAGGCUGAAACUUAAAGGAAUUGGCGGGGGAGCACUACAACGGGUGGAGCCUGCGGUUUAAUUGGAGUCAACGCCGGGAAGGG